RNAcentral lists this transfer RNA (40 nucleotides) under Ruellia amoena. Its description in RNAcentral is "partial tRNA-Leu". Lineage: Eukaryota; Viridiplantae; Streptophyta; Magnoliopsida; Lamiales; Acanthaceae. The record is from RNAcentral.
UAUCUCCUUUUCCGUUAGCGGGUCAAAAUCUCUUUACGGA